RNAcentral lists this ribosomal RNA (459 nucleotides) under uncultured bacterium. Its description in RNAcentral is "bacterial SSU rRNA". It matches the Rfam family "Bacterial small subunit ribosomal RNA", at positions 29 to 533 of the family's 1533-position model. The record is from RNAcentral.
AACGAACGCUGGCGGCAGGCUUAACACAUGCAAGUCGAACGAUGUAGCAAUACAUAGUGGCGCACGGGUGAGUAACGCGUGGGAAUAUACCUUAUAGUGGGAAUAACUUUGGGAAACUAAAGCUAAUACCGCAUACGCCCGAGAGGGGAAAGAUUUAUCGCUAUAAGAUUAGCCCGCGUGAGAUUAGGUAGUUGGUGGGGUAAUGGCCUACCAAGCCUACGAUCUCUAGCUGGUCUGAGAGGAUGAUCAGCCACACUGGAACUGAGACACGGUCCAGACUCCUACGGGAGGCAGCAGUGGGGAAUAUUGGGCAAUGGACGAAAGUCUGACCCAGCCAUGCCGCGUGAAUGAUGAAGGCCUUAGGGUUGUAAAGUUCUUUCGCCGAUGAAGAUAAUGACGGUAGUCGGAGAAGAAGCCCCGGCUAACUUCGUGCCAGCAGCCGCGGUAAUGUCGUACGAU